UACCCAAUAGCUAGCCCACCCUAAAAAAUCAAUACCUCAUUAUUUAUAACCCCUAACACCCUACCUUUUUAAAAGCAAACCAUUUUUCCCCUCAAGUAUAGGCGAUAGAAAAAGGAACCCCGGAGCAAUACAAAAGUACCGCAAGGGAAAGCUGAAAAAGAAAUGAAAUAAUCCAGUAAAGUUUAAAAAAGCAGAGCCCUCUCCUCGUACCUUUUGCAUCAUGAUUUAGCAAGACCCUGUCAAGCAAAAAGUUUAUAGUUUGAUCCCCCGAAACUUAGUGAGCUACCCCAAGACAGCCUAUAAAUAGGGCAAACACAUCUCUGUGGCAAAAGAGUGUGAAGAGCUUCGAGUAGAGGUGAUAAACCUACCGAACUAAGUUAUAGCUGGUUGUCUAAAAACUGAAUAAAAGUUCAGCCCCUCUUUUUCUUAAUUUACCCUAAAAUUUUUACUAGUCCAAUUUUAAGAAAAUCAGGGAGUUAUUCAAAAGAGGAACAGCCCUUUUGAAUGAAGACACAACUUUAGAGGCAGGGUAAUGAUCAUUUUAACUCAAGGUGAGUAUUUUUGUAGGCCUAAGAGCAGCCACCAAUAAAGAAAGCGUUAUAGCUCAAAUAUUAACACAAACCUCAAAUCCCGGUAAUACCAACCAAAACCCUCCAUCUUUAUUAGACUAUCCUAUUCUUCUCAUAGGAGAAACAAUGCUAAUAUGAGUAAUAAGAGAUUUGAAUCUCUCCUCGCACUUGUGUACCUCGGAACGAACCAAUCACCGAAAAUUAACGGACCCAACAUUUAAGAGGGUAUUGAAACAAAAAAAGAUAACUAGAAAACACUUCACCCACCACCGUUAACCCUACACCGGUGUGCCAACCAGGAAAGACUAAAAGGGGAAAAAGGAACUCGGCAAAAUUACAAAACAAAGCCUCGCCUGUUUACCAAAAACAUCGCCUCUUGCCCACCAAAUAUAAGAGGUCCCGCCUGCCCUGUGACUCAUAGUUUAACGGCCGCGGUAUUUUGACCGUGCAAAGGUAGCGCAAUCACUUGUCUUUUAAAUGAAGACCUGUAUGAAUGGCAUUACGAGGGCUUAACUGUCUCUUUCCCCCUGUCAAUGAAAUUGAUCUCCCCGUGCAGAAGCGGGGGUUUAAUCAUAAGACGAGAAGACCCUAUGGAGCUUUAGACGCAAGAACAGCCAAUGUUAAGAAUUCUAAAUUAAAAGACAAAACCAAUUGAAACCUGAACUAGUGUCUUUGGUUGGGGCGACCAUAGAGCAUACAAAACCCCUAUGAAGAAUAAACAUACUAUGUUUUGAACCAAGAGUGACAACUCUAAGCAACAGAACUUCUGACCUAGUAGAUCCGGUAUUACCGAUCAACGAAACGAGUUACCCUAGGGAUAACAGCGCAAUCCCCUUUUAGAGCCCACAUCGACAAGGGGGUUUACGACCUCGAUGUUGGAUCAGGACAUCCUAAUGGUGCAGCCGCUAUUAAGGGUUCGUUUGUUCAACGAUUAAAGUCCUACGUGAUCUGAGUUCAGACCGGAGUAAUCCAGGUCAGUUUCUAUCUAUGAAAUGUUUUUUCCUAGUACGAAAGGACCGAAAAAAAAAGGCCUCUGCCAAUAAGUAAGCCUUCCCUUAACCUAAUGAAAACAACUAAAUUAGACAAAAAGGCAUAUCUCAUAAGCCCCACCUAAGAUAAAGGCAA
RNAcentral lists this ribosomal RNA (1694 nucleotides) under Pachypanchax playfairii (golden panchax). RNAcentral describes it as "16S ribosomal RNA". The stretch from base 96 to 1608 matches the Rfam family "Bacterial large subunit ribosomal RNA". The record is from RNAcentral. Lineage: Eukaryota; Metazoa; Chordata; Actinopteri; Cyprinodontiformes; Aplocheilidae.